Molecule: long non-coding RNA, 518 nt
Organism: Drosophila miranda
Lineage: Eukaryota; Metazoa; Arthropoda; Insecta; Diptera; Drosophilidae
Exons: 3
Source: RefSeq, a predicted model, not a curated record
UGGACAAAUCGACACUACAUCUGGCGUCCGAAGUGGAUCCGAUGACCAGGAAACUACAAUCUUUAUUUGACGAUUGGUUCCAUUGAGAAGGGAGCGGGGAUACUUAUGUGGGUAGUGCUGGUCCCGGCCAAGUGUCCCAUCCUAGGAUUUCCUGGAUUGCCAGCUUAAAACCAAAUUCCACCCAAAAAUAUGCUAUAAAAGCUUGAGAAACUUACUAAAUGCCAUGUAAGGAACUGAAACAGAUUGCGAUUUAUAGAUCUGAAAUGCAUACCUUACACAAGACGUCUUUCUGGUGUGGAAACGUGUGAAAUACGGCCAAGAAAACCGUGCAUCUUUUUUUCCCACCAUGAAGUCUAAGUUCUUCAAAAAAUAUACAUAGCAGACCUCAUGAUCACAUACGCUGUAAUGGAAGACUUUUGUGAAAUUUGUUCGUUUUGGCUGUACAUGGACUUGCAUUGAAGCAAAAUAAAAUCAUAUAUCCAUCGGUUCAGCAACCGAUAUUAGAGAUAUUAAUCGUU